RNAcentral lists this long non-coding RNA (249 nucleotides) under Podarcis lilfordi (Lilford's wall lizard). Lineage: Eukaryota; Metazoa; Chordata; Lepidosauria; Squamata; Lacertidae. The record is from RNAcentral.
CCCUGCUCCUGCCAACCUAGCAGUUCGAAAGCACGUCAAAGUGCAAGUAGAUAAAUAGGUACCACUCUGGCGGGAAGGUAAACGGUGUUUCCGUGCGCUGCUCUGGUUCGCCAGAAGCGGCUUAGUCAUGCUGGCCACAUGACCUGGAAGCUGUACGCUGGCUCCCUCGGCCAAUAAAGCGAGAUGAGCGCUGCAACCCCAGAGUCGGUCACGACUGGACCUAAUGGUCAGGGGUCCCUUUACCUUUAC